UACGUAGGGCGCAAGCGUUAUCCGGAAUUAUUGGGCGUAAAGAGCUCGUAGGCGGUUUGUCGCGUCUGCCGUGAAAGUCCGGGGCUCAACUCCGGAUCUGCGGUGGGUACGGGCAGACUAGAGUGAUGUAGGGGAGACUGGAAUUCCUGGUGUAGCGGUGAAAUGCGCAGAUAUCAGGAGGAACACCGAUGGCGAAGGCAGGUCUCUGGGCAUUUCCUGACGCUGAGGCGCGAAAGCGUGGGGAGCAAACAGG
This 253-nucleotide ribosomal RNA is filed under the name uncultured bacterium. Its description in RNAcentral is "partial 16S ribosomal RNA". It matches the Rfam family "Bacterial small subunit ribosomal RNA", at positions 524 to 776 of the family's 1533-position model. The record is from RNAcentral.